RNAcentral lists this ribosomal RNA (492 nucleotides) under uncultured bacterium. Its description in RNAcentral is "partial 16S ribosomal RNA". It matches the Rfam family "Bacterial small subunit ribosomal RNA", at positions 28 to 507 of the family's 1533-position model. The record is from RNAcentral.
GAUGAACGCUAGCUACAGGCUUAACACAUGCAAGUCGAGGGGAAACGGCAUUAAGUGCUUGCACUUUUUGGACGUCGACCGGCGCACGGGUGAGUAACGCGUAUCCAACCUUCCCAUGACUAAGGGAUAACCUGCCGAAAGGCAGACUAAUACCUUAUGGUCUUCACUGACGGCAUCAGAUGUGAAGUAAAGAUUUAUCGGUUAUGGAUGGGGAUGCGUCUGAUUAGCUUGUUGGCGGGGUAACGGCCCACCAAGGCAACGAUCAGUAGGGGUUCUGAGAGGAAGGUCCCCCACAUUGGAACUGGGACACGGUCCAAACUCCUACGGGAGGCAGCAGUGAGGAAGAUUGGUCAAUGGGCGAGAGCCUGAACCAGCCAAGUAGCGUGCAGGAUGACGGCCCUAUGGGUUGUAAACUGCUUUUGUAUGGGGAUAAAGUCAAUCACGUGUGAUUGUUUGCAGGUACCAUACGAAUAAGGACCGGCUAAUUCCGUG